RNAcentral lists this ribosomal RNA (621 nucleotides) under uncultured bacterium. RNAcentral's name for it is "bacterial SSU rRNA". It matches the Rfam family "Bacterial small subunit ribosomal RNA", at positions 103 to 709 of the family's 1533-position model. The record is from RNAcentral.
CUGGUGAGUAACACGUGGGUAACCUGCCCUUGAAGUAGGGGAUAACACUUGGAAACAGGUGCUAAUACCGGAUAACAACCAAAACCACCUGGUUUUGGUUUAAAAGACGGCUUCGGCUGUCACUUUAGGAUGGACCCGCGGCGCAUUAGCUUGUUGGUAAGGUAACGGCUUACCAAGGCGAUGAUACGUAGCCGACCUGAGAGGGUAAUCGGCCACAUUGGGACUGAGACACGGCCCAAACUCCUACGGGAGGCAGCAGUAGGGAAUCUUCCACAAUGGACGAAAGUCUGAUGGAGCAACGCCGCGUGAGUGAUGAAGGGUUUCGGCUCGUAAAACUCUGUUGUUGGAGAAGAAUAGGUGUCAGAGUAACUGUUGACAUCUUGACGGUAUCCAACCAGAAAGCCACGGCUAACUACGUGCCAGCAGCCGCGGUAAUACGUAGGUGGCAAGCGUUGUCCGGAUUUAUUGGGCGUAAAGCGAGCGCAGGCGGUUUUUUAGGUCUGAUGUGAAAGCCUUCGGCUUAACCGGAGAAGUGCAUCGGAAACCGGGAGACUUGAGUGCAGAAGAGGACAGUGGAACUCCAUGUGUAGCGGUGAAAUGCGUAGAUAUAUGGAAGAACAC